ACGGCUCAGUAACACGUGGACAACCUACCCUUGGGACGGGGAUAAACCCGGGAAACUGGGUAUAAUACCCGAUAGGUCUCGGAUGCUGGAAUGCUUCGAGAUUUAAAACUCCGGUGCCCAAGGAUGGGUCUGCGGCCUAUCAGGUUGUAGUGGGUGUAGCGUACCUACUAGCCUACGACGGGUACGGGUUGUGAGAGCAAGAGCCCGGAGAUGGAUUCUGAGACACGAAUCCAGGCCCUACGGGGUGCAGCAGGCGCGAAAACUUUACAAUGCCGGCAACGGCGAUAAGGGAACCUCGAGUGCCAGGUUACAAAUCUGGCUGUCGUGAUGCCUAAAAAGCAUUGCAUAGCAAGGGCCGGGCAAGACCGGUGCCAGCCGCCGCGGUAACACCGGCGGCUCGAGUGGUAACCGAUAUUAUUGGGUCUAAAGGGUCUGUAGCCGGCCGGGUAAGUCUCUUGGGAAAUCUGGCAGCUUAACUGUCAGGCUUUCAGGAGAUACUGCCUGGCUCGAGGCCGGGAGAGGUGAGAGGUGCUUCAGGGGUAGGGGUGAAAUCUUGUAAUCCUUGACGGACCACCAGUGGCGAAGGCGUCUCACCAGAACGGACCUGACGGCAAGGGACGAAAGCCUGGGGCACGAACCGGAUUAGAUACCCGGGUAGUCCUAGCCGUAAACGAUACUCGCUAGGUGUCGGCCACGGUGCGACCGUGGUCGGUGCCGUAGGGAAGCCGUGAAGCGAGCCACCUGGGAAGUACGGCCGCAAGGCUGAAACUUAAAGGAAUUGGCGGGGGAGCAC
This 793-nucleotide ribosomal RNA is filed under the name uncultured archaeon. RNAcentral describes it as "bacterial SSU rRNA". It matches the Rfam family "Archaeal small subunit ribosomal RNA", at positions 85 to 879 of the family's 1478-position model. The record is from RNAcentral.